Long non-coding RNA from Leopardus geoffroyi (Geoffroy's cat), 1060 nucleotides. RefSeq lists it as uncharacterized. NCBI's taxonomy places the organism in Eukaryota, Metazoa, Chordata, Mammalia, Carnivora, Felidae. The record is from RefSeq and is a predicted model, not a curated record. The transcript is spliced from 11 exons.
UGUGGGUUGUUUACUUUAUCUUUUUUAAAAGGUGAAGCGAGGGAAAAACAAAAUGUGAGCGUAGCUUGCCUGAGCACUAAUACAUUGCAUUUAUUGGUUGGGGGGGGGCGGGUAAAGCUCGGCCACGGCCUUGAGUCCACGAAGCAGCCGCGGAGCUUUGUGAAGGACAAGAUGGCGAUGGCGGGCCGUGCCGGCGGCCCUCUCUGUGAUGAGAACCUUUUCACAGACCUGUACUGAGCUCCGUGAGGAUAAGAAACUCUGAAGAGACGGGCCUUGCACAGCCGAAAUGCGACACAGUCGUAGCUCCGGCGGACAAAACGAUUGUGAAAAAGCCGGUGUUGAUUUAAUGUCCUCUUGUCUGCAGGGAUUAGGCGCAUGUCUGAACGCUAGAAUGGAAAAGAGCCGACCUGUUAGGAUGUGGUUCAGCUCAAAAGACCUUACGGGUUGGAGGAUGGGACAAGACCCAUCCCUGCAAAGUAAGCAUUCCAGUGAUGCUCCAGCAUCUCCUCCCCAAGCCUGAGGAAUCCAGCUGCCUCCAAGGGUGAAGACAGGUCUUCCUGAUGGUGGUAAUAUGUUGAUUUACCUUAUGAUGCCCACUGAUGUGCUCAGGGUCGAACUCAUGGAAAGAGUUAAGGAUGGAGCAGCUUGUUCGUGUAUACUACCAAAAGGCCUCCAGAGUUAACAGGUGUGGUUACCCAUAACUCGCUCAUUUGCUCAGAGGUUCAGCACUUUCUCUGGAGCCCAAGAAUGAUUUGAGGUACCUUCAGCCAUUUCUCUGCUCAGCUCCAGUCUGAAGUCAGGUCUGAAGAAGGAACAAGGCAUAGGUAAUGGACAGGGAGACAGAAUCCCAAGUAGACCUCAUGCUGUCCCGUGCAGAGCCCAACGCAGGACUUGAACUCUGAAACAGAUAACCUGAGCUGGGAUCAAUGGUUCGACAUAUAACAGACUGAGCCAAUGAGGUGCCCCUAAAAAAAAUGUUCUUAAGUCAAUGCUAAAAGGCUUUACUUUGGCCAAUUAUUGUGUUUAUCCUGUUGGUGUAAAUAUAACUUGAUGAGAAUGA